This 830-nucleotide long non-coding RNA is filed under the name Heterocephalus glaber (naked mole-rat). RNAcentral describes it as "lncRNA (ENSHGLG00000032524.1)". Lineage: Eukaryota; Metazoa; Chordata; Mammalia; Rodentia; Bathyergidae. The record is from RNAcentral.
CACAGCAGUUGUUCUGGGACUUCCCUUUAACACAGUGGAUUUCACUGCCUCUGCACAGUGGUCUAACCUGAAGAGAGAAUAAAUUACCGGAACCUAUACAACAACCACAUGAAGAAGAAAAAGCCAAAAUCCAUCAACCUGAGCACAAGAGGGUAAAUAAUGCUUUUCUGGACCGACUCCAAGGCAAAAGUCAACCAGGUGGCCUCCAGCAGUCUAGAGGCUAUUGGAAUACGAAUAGUGGUAACAGCUGGGGUAUAUGAGAAAUAUUAAUUUCUACCUGGUCUUCAUCAACUGACCUGGAAAAAACCUCCUGAGAUGCUUUUCCUUAAUGUAAUUUUGUUCAGCCUCACUGUUUUUUACCUUAGCUUCAACUGCCUACCCACUCAACUGAGCAGUUAGGGAUGGUCAAUUUCUCUGUCAUUAGUUAUGCAUGUUUGCAGGCUCUGAUUACUAAACUCAUUUAAUCUCUACUGCCUGAAAAAUGUUACAUUAUUUUUAUAAUUGGUUUUGCCUCUUAUUAGAAUCAUUAGAACAAUGUUAAUAAGAUAGAAAAAGAUGGAAUCACUUGAUAGUUUCAGGUUAGCGAGAAUGCUGGGCGCUACAGGCUUCUUUAUAUAAGCAACUAUUUCUAAGCUAAUUCUCAGAUCAGAUUUGGGGAAGCUUUGGGGUCUUUUAGGUUUUUAUCCCUACUUUCUUAAUCUAGGCAACAAAUAUAACCAAAAGAAAAGUAUUGUAUACUCUAUUAUAUGUGCUGCCGAAGCGAGCACAAGAAAAGUAUUGUAUACUCUAUUAAAAUUAUAAAUAAAUUUUGAACUGCUAUAUAAAUGGGC